CUACUUAAUUCUAGGUCUACACUCCUCACCCCUUCUCUUCCUAUCCUUCUUUAUACCCAAAUCCAUAACCAAGAGCCUAUGCUGGGUCGAAAGAUUCUCACUCAGGAUGACCUUAUAGUCCUUACACAAUACCCUAUCCCCUUUCCUAAGCAACAAAAAGUCAAUCUAGGUCUUGGCUAUCGCGCUUCGGAAGGUGAUCAGGUGAUCGUCCUUCUUCGGGAAGCCCAAGUUCACCACCACCAGCUCAAAGGACCUCGCAAAAUCCAAUAGAGUAUCCCCCUCUUUAUUUCUUUCCCCAAAACCAAAACCACC
RNAcentral lists this long non-coding RNA (312 nucleotides) under Capsicum annuum. Its description in RNAcentral is "long non-coding RNA (CANN_LNC004760)". The record is from RNAcentral. Lineage: Eukaryota; Viridiplantae; Streptophyta; Magnoliopsida; Solanales; Solanaceae.